Molecule: ribosomal RNA, 253 nt
Filed under: uncultured bacterium
Lineage: Bacteria
Description: partial 16S ribosomal RNA
Rfam family: Bacterial small subunit ribosomal RNA
Source: RNAcentral
UACGGGGGGGGCAAGCGUUGUUCGGAAUUACUGGGCGUAAAGGGUGCGUAGGCGGGUCUUUAAGUCAGGGGUGAAAUCCUGGAGCUCAACUCCAGAACUGCCUUUGAUACUGAGGAUCUUGAGUCCGGGAGAGGUGAGUGGAACUGCGAGUGUAGAGGUGAAAUUCGUAGAUAUUCGCAAGAACACCAGUGGCGAAGGCGGCUCACUGGCCCGGUACUGACGCUGAGGCACGAAAGCGUGGGGAGCAAACAGG